Molecule: ribosomal RNA, 252 nt
Filed under: uncultured bacterium
Lineage: Bacteria
Description: partial 16S ribosomal RNA
Rfam family: Bacterial small subunit ribosomal RNA
Source: RNAcentral
UACGGAGGAUGCGAGCGUUAUCCGGAUUUAUUGGGUUCAAAGGGUGCGUAGGCGGGCAUUUAAGCCGGCGGUCAAAUGUCGGGGCUCAACCCCGGCCUGCCGUCGGAACUGGGUGCCUUGAGUGGGCGAGAAGUAUGCGGAAUGCGUGGUGUAGCGGUGAAAUGCAUAGAUAUCACGCAGAACCCCGAUUGCGAAGGCAGCAUACCGGCGCCCGACUGACGCUGAGGCACGAAAGUGCGGGUAUCGAACAGG